AUGAAAACUUGAUCUAACAUAUAUACGACCAACAGUAAAAUUUAAUGUUCAACCGAAUAUUUCACGACGUAGGGAGCUUUUUUCGAAUACAUAUAUUGAAUACAGGUUAUUUUAAAAUUACUGGGCAAGCUGUGUACAGGAAACUUUUAAUUAUAACAACCACCCGAGGAGCGAAGGGAUGAAUGGAUGAUGGAGUUUAGUCGCUUGGGUAGGAAUUAUUGGCGACCAAUUUUCAAGGCCUUGUAUUCUUCCAAACCGACUGACAGGAAUGAAGGAGGAUGUUCCAACGAAAUGAAUUCCUGGGAGGCAGUGUUGAGCAUAUUUGUAUUCGCAAAAAAGACGAAUGUGCUACGUUUACGUUUCAAUUAUGCUGCUGUCAUGUGUUUAUUGCAAUGCCCGGAGCGGUGUAGGUACUGAAUAAGUGGUUGAAAACUGUUCAUCAAUUAACCGGAUAAAAUGCAAAAAUGUUCUUAUUUUGAAUUGAAAAGAAUAAAUGUGCACAUUCAUGAUAAAGA
Molecule: long non-coding RNA, 515 nt
Organism: Hermetia illucens (black soldier fly)
Lineage: Eukaryota; Metazoa; Arthropoda; Insecta; Diptera; Stratiomyidae
Exons: 4
Source: RefSeq, a predicted model, not a curated record